AAAGAAUAUGUGAUGGUCACAUAUCUCUGUCAUUGCCAACUUGAUCAUUUUUGUGAGAUAAAGAUAAACAAGUAAUACAAAGAAGAAUUUUUUGUUUGUAUAAUUUUUGAAUCAUAUAGAACUUGUAAAUCUUAUCUUAUAGAUAAAAUGACCAAGAUCUCAUUUACUGAACAUAGGAAAAAGGCAUGCAUGGUAUUAGGCCUUGUAUAUAUGAAUGUUUGAGGACCAAUAAUAUCUCGACCUAGAGAUGGACACCACAUAUAAGAUAUGGUGUAUUCCUUAAUUUGCUUCACAAAUCUUAUUGUCUCAUUCUGGGGAUAUGCCCUAGAAAUUGCUGUAUGUGUUUUGAAUGAGAUACCAUCAAAAUCUAUUACUAGCACUCUAUAUAUGAUA
This 393-nucleotide long non-coding RNA is filed under the name Elaeis guineensis (African oil palm). Its description in RNAcentral is "long non-coding RNA (EGUI_LNC051100)". Lineage: Eukaryota; Viridiplantae; Streptophyta; Magnoliopsida; Arecales; Arecaceae. The record is from RNAcentral.